RNAcentral lists this ribosomal RNA (752 nucleotides) under uncultured bacterium. RNAcentral's name for it is "bacterial SSU rRNA". It matches the Rfam family "Bacterial small subunit ribosomal RNA", at positions 62 to 875 of the family's 1533-position model. The record is from RNAcentral.
UCGAGCGCAUUCUUGGGUGGCGGCGACGGGUUCGUAACGCGUGGACGUACCCAGACUAAGAAAGCCACCGGAUCGGGAGUAAACCUUAUACGCCCUUCGGGGAAUGAUUAUCGGAUUUGGAUCGGCCCGCGUUAGAUUAGAUAGUUGGUGGGGUAACGGCCUACCAAGUCUACGAUCUAUAGCUGGUUUUAGAGGAUGAUCAGCAACACUGGGACUGAGACACGGCCCAGACUCCUACGGGAGGCAGCAGUGGGGAAUCUUGGACAAUGGGCGCAAGCCUGAUCCAGCCAUGCCGCGUGAGUGAUGAAGGCCUUAGGGUCGUAAAGCUCUUUCGCCAGGGAUGAUAAUGACAGUACCUGGUAAAGAAACCCCGGCUAACUCCGUGCCAGCAGCCGCGGUAAUACGGAGGGGGUUAGCGUUGUUCGGAAUUACUGGGCGUAAAGCGCGCGUAGGCGGGUUGUUAAGUUAGAGGUGAAAUCCCGGGGCUCAACCCCGGAACUGCCUUUAAUACUGGCAACCUAGAGUUCGAGAGAGGUGAGUGGAAUUCCGAGUGUAGAGGUGAAAUUCGUAGAUAUUCGGAGGAACACCAGUGGCGAAGGCGGCUCACUGGCUCGAUACUGACGCUGAGGUGCGAAAGUGUGGGGAGCAAACAGGAUUAGAUACCCUGGUAGUCCACACCGUAAACGAUGAAUGCCAGUCGUCGGGUAGCAUGCUAUUCGGUGACACACCUAACGGAUUAAGCAUUCCGCCUG